GGUUAAGCGACUAAGCGUACACGGUGGAUGCCCUGGCAGUCAGAGGCGAUGAAGGACGUGCUAAUCUGCGAAAAGCGUCGGUAAGGUGAUAUGAACCGUUAUAACCGGCGAUGUCCGAAUGGGGAAACCCAGUGCAAUUCGUUGCACUAUCGUUAACUGAAUACAUAGGUUAACGAGGCGAACCGGGGGAACUGAAACAUCUAAGUACCCCGAGGAAAAGAAAUCAACCGAGAUUCCCCCAGUAGCGGCGAGCGAACGGGGAGCAGCCCAGAGUCUGAAUCAGCUUGUGUGUUAGUGGAACGGUCUGGAAAGUCCGACGGUACAGGGUGAUAGUCCCGUACACCAAAAUGCACAGGCUGUGAACUCGAAGAGUAGGGCGGGACACGUGGUAUCCUGUCUGAAUAUGGGGGGACCAUCCUCCAAGGCUAAAUACUCCUGACUGACCGAUAGUGAACCAGUACCGUGAGGGAAAGGCGAAAAGAACCCCGGCGAGGGGAGUGAAAAAGAACCUGAAACCGUGUACGUACAAGCAGUGGGAGCACCUUCGGGUGUGACUGCGUACCUUUUGUAUAAUGGGUCAGCGACUUAUAUUCUGUAGCAAGGUUAACCGUAUAGGGGAGCCGCAGGGAAACCGAGUCUUAACUGGGCGUUAAGUUGCAGGGUAUAGACCCGAAACCCGGUGAUCUAGCCAUGGGCAGGUUGAAGGUUGGGUAACACUAACUGGAGGACCGAACCGACUAAUGUUGAAAAAUUAGCGGAUGACUUGUGGCUGGGGGUGAAAGGCCAAUCAAACCGGGAGAUAGCUGGUUCUCCCCGAAAGCUAUUUAGGUAGCGCCUCGUGAACUCAUCUUCGGGGGUAGAGCACUGUUUCGGCUAGGGGGUCAUCCCGACUUACCAACCCGAUGCAAACUACGAAUACCGAAGAAUGUUAUCACGGGAGACACACGGCGGGUGCUAACGUCCGUCGUGAAGAGGGAAACAACCCAGACCGCCAGCUAAGGUCCCAAAGUCAUGGUUAAGUGGGAAACGAUGUGGGAAGGCACAGACAGCCAGGAUGUUGGCUUAGAAGCAGCCAUCAUUUAAAGAAAGCGUAAUAGCUCACUGGUCGAGUCGGCCUGCGCGGAAGAUGUAACGGGGCUAAACCAUGCACCGAAGCUGCGGCAGCGACACUAUGUGUUGUUGGGUAGGGGAGCGUUCUGUAAGCCUGCGAAGGUGACCUGUGAGGGUUGCUGGAGGUAUCAGAAGUGCGAAUGCUGACAUAAGUAACGAUAAAGCGGGUGAAAAGCCCGCUCGCCGGAAGACCAAGGGUUCCUGUCCAACGUUAAUCGGGGCAGGGUGAGUCGACCCCUAAGGCGAGGCCGAAAGGCGUAGUCGAUGGGAAACAGGUUAAUAUUCCUGUACUUGGUGUUACUGCGAAGGGGGGACGGAGAAGGCUAUGUUAGCCGGGCGACGGUUGUCCCGGUUUAAGCAUGUAGGCUGGUUAUCCAGGCAAAUCCGGAUAAUCAAGGCUGAGGUGUGAUGACGAGGUACUACGGUGCUGAAGUAACAAAUGCCCUGCUUCCAGGAAAAGCCUCUAAGCAUCAGGUAACAUUAAAUCGUACCCCAAACCGACACAGGUGGUCAGGUAGAGAAUACCAAGGCGCUUGAGAGAACUCGGGUGAAGGAACUAGGCAAAAUGGUGCCGUAACUUCGGGAGAAGGCACGCUGGUGUGUAGGUGAAGUCCCUGCGGAUGGAGCUGAGACCAGUCGAAGAUACCAGCUGGCUGCAACUGUUUAUUAAAAACACAGCACUGUGCAAACACGAAAGUGGACGUAUACGGUGUGACGCCUGCCCGGUGCCGGAAGGUUAAUUGAUGGGGUUAUCCGUAAGGAGAAGCUCUUGAUCGAAGCCCCGGUAAACGGCGGCCGUAACUAUAACGGUCCUAAGGUAGCGAAAUUCCUUGUCGGGUAAGUUCCGACCUGCACGAAUGGCGUAAUGAUGGCCAGGCUGUCUCCACCCGAGACUCAGUGAAAUUGAACUCGCUGUGAAGAUGCAGUGUACCCGCGGCAAGACGGAAAGACCCCGUGAACCUUUACUAUAGCUUGACACUGAACAUUGAGCCUUGAUGUGUAGGAUAGGUGGGAGGCUUUGAAGCGUGGACGCCAGUCUGCGUGGAGCCAACCUUGAAAUACCACCCUUUAAUGUUUGAUGUUCUAACGUUGGCCCCUGACCGGGGUUGCGGACAGUGUCUGGUGGGUAGUUUGACUGGGGCGGUCUCCUCCCAAAGCGUAACGGAGGAGCACGAAGGUUAGCUAAUCCUGGUCGGACAUCAGGAGGUUAGUGCAAUGGCAUAAGCUAGCUUGACUGCGAGCGUGACGGCGCGAGCAGGUGCGAAAGCAGGUCAUAGUGAUCCGGUGGUUCUGAAUGGAAGGGCCAUCGCUCAACGGAUAAAAGGUACUCCGGGGAUAACAGGCUGAUACCGCCCAAGAGUUCAUAUCGACGGCGGUGUUUGGCACCUCGAUGUCGGCUCAUCACAUCCUGGGGCUGAAGUAGGUCCCAAGGGUAUGGCUGUUCGCCAUUUAAAGUGGUACGCGAGCUGGGUUUAGAACGUCGUGAGACAGUUCGGUCCCUAUCUGCCGUGGGCGCUGGAGAAUUGAGGGGGGCUGCUCCUAGUACGAGAGGACCGGAGUGGACGCAUCACUGGUGUUCGGGUUGUCAUGCCAAUGGCACUGCCCGGUAGCUAAAUGCGGAAGAGAUAAGUGCUGAAAGCAUCUAAGCACGAAACUUGCCCCGAGAUGAGUUCUCCCUGAGACUUUAAGUCUCCUGAAGGAACGUUAAAGACGAUGACGUUGAUAGGCCGGGUGUGUAAGCGCAGCGAUGCGUUGAGCUAACCGGUACUAAUGAACCGUGAGGCUUAACCUU
RNAcentral lists this ribosomal RNA (2902 nucleotides) under Klebsiella pneumoniae. Its description in RNAcentral is "23S ribosomal RNA". It matches the Rfam family "Bacterial large subunit ribosomal RNA". Lineage: Bacteria; Pseudomonadati; Pseudomonadota; Gammaproteobacteria; Enterobacterales; Enterobacteriaceae. The record is from RNAcentral.